AUUGAACGCUGGCGGCAUGCCUUACACAUGCAAGUCGAACGGUAACGGGCCUUCGGGUGCCGGCGAGUGGCGCACGGGUGAGUAAUACAUCGGAACGUGCCCGAUCGUGGGGGAUAACGAGGCGAAAGCUUUGCUAAUACCGCAUACGAUCUACGGAUGAAAGCAGGGGACCGCAAGGCCUUGCGCGGACGGAGCGGCCGAUGGCAGAUUAGGUAGUUGGUGGGAUAAAAGCUUACCAAGCCGACGAUCUGUAGCUGGUCUGAGAGGAUGAUCAGCCACACUGGGACUGAGACACGGCCCAGACUCCUACGGGAGGCAGCAGUGGGGAAUUUUGGACAAUGGGCGCAAGCCUGAUCCAGCCAUGCCGCGUGCAGGAUGAAGGCCUUCGGGUUGUAAACUGCUUUUGUACGGAACGAAAAGCCUUCUUUUAAUACAGGAGGGUCAUGACGGUACCGUAAGAAUAAGCACCGGCGAACUACGU
This 481-nucleotide ribosomal RNA is filed under the name uncultured bacterium. Its description in RNAcentral is "partial 16S ribosomal RNA". It matches the Rfam family "Bacterial small subunit ribosomal RNA", at positions 30 to 506 of the family's 1533-position model. The record is from RNAcentral.